Molecule: long non-coding RNA, 604 nt
Organism: Pungitius pungitius (ninespine stickleback)
Lineage: Eukaryota; Metazoa; Chordata; Actinopteri; Perciformes; Gasterosteidae
Exons: 2
Source: RefSeq, a predicted model, not a curated record
GACACUUGUCUGAUACUUGUACAGCUCCGCUACAGCGUCGCGUGCGAAUGACGUCAUUCACAUGCAGCUGCGAUCGUAUCUUUCGCGCCCAAAGAUAACGGCUGCAUAGCGAAACGCUGAUGUCUCCAUUUUUACUGCUUUUUACUACUUGAAUGGACUGAGGGUGAUGAUAGUGGGGCGCAUAGUAUUUUGGCGAUUGACUGUGUCCGGAACUUUUCAGUUCAAGAUUUUUUUGCCUCGACUGAACAAAACGAGAAGCUGGUGGAAUGGCGAAACGGCCGCCAACCCUGGCCGGUUCACCCAGCCAAAAUUAUUGACGUGGCAAGUAAGUUAUGUUACAUUCUAUUAUGUAUAUAUUACAUUAAAUUUUGCUCGCACGUAAAGAAGUGUAAAAUGGAUCUUGUUACCUGACUAGCUUAGCAUGCUGGCUGUUAGCUACAUUAGCAAACAUUAGCUAUUUGCUAAUGUUAAUGUUAAGUCUCUUAAUUCGGCAGGGGAAGACUGAGAAGGCUUAAAAAAAGUAAAAAGGGAGGGUCUUCCAAAAACAAGCACCAGGAGGGUGAGAAGCAGGAGGAGGGUCAUGACAGACUUUCAAAGAACAAGG